This is a long non-coding RNA of Cyclopterus lumpus (lumpfish), 1052 nucleotides long. RefSeq lists it as uncharacterized. The record is from RefSeq and is a predicted model, not a curated record. The transcript has 2 exons. NCBI's taxonomy places the organism in Eukaryota, Metazoa, Chordata, Actinopteri, Perciformes, Cyclopteridae.
UCGCCGUGAGACAGCGGUCUGGUGAAGUUGCGGGAUAGAUUCCCAUUCAGUAGUUUCCAGCUCGCAGCGGCAGCGGCGCUCUCCGCCAGCCUCACAGCUUCUACCUCCCACAUUUAAUCACACUCGGUCUGUUAAUACCUGACAUGGUGAGCCCUGAGCCCCGGACGUUAUGUUACCUAUGGUGACCAUUACCCGUCGCAGCUACGCGUCGUGUCUCUUAUUUCUUUGCCUUUGGGGAAAUUAGAAGUAGCUUGGAGGAUUUUUUAAAUAUAUAUUCACCGAGUAGAUGCACAUUUUUUUAAUCGGCUGUGCAGUCUUGGAAAACAAUGCACAUCGAUUCAGUUAAGUGGAGUUUAAACGUGGUCACGACACAAAUCCACAGCCAAUUAAGAUAAUAAACAAUAAACUGAUAUUAGUACAUUUCUUCUGUUACUAAAAGCAAUGUGGCAUAUGGUAUUAAUCAGAACCACAAGCCAAACAUAUUUUAGGCUUGAUAUUCGUGAGGAGCAUUUGCACAGCAUUAAUACAGUUUAAAGUUUUGUAAGAGUUGUUUUUAACCCCUGUGUAUGUCGUUGAAGUCACGCUGAAGUUCACAGACCCAGACCAAACAAGAUUUGCACUCUCCGCCGCUUCUCAACUUGGCCCAUUUAAACAGCGGCGGCUCGGCGAGAGCCACAGAAGGGAGGGGGGACUGCGACGGACGACGCUUAAGUGCGUAAAAUGGAGGAACCAUCGUGAGUGAACGUUAUGUUCCCCUGAGCUCGUGAAGCUUGUGAGUCGGACCACAUCUGACCCCCAUCAGUGGAGAACCACCCAGGUGGAUCCACCACCAACACAUGGAAUAGCCAUUCCAGAAGCAGAGGUGGGGUCCAAAACGGUGUGUUUCAGGGGCCUAUAAAUCAGGCCAAACUGCCUCUGACACACACAGGAAGGAGGCACACCACACCGCAGGCGGAAGCGGUACACAGGGAGGCCAGAGACCACAGCAUGGCCAGAACUGCUGUAGUGCCUACAGCCGGCAGGCAAGCAGACAUUUACAAAAACACACGGCA